CAUACUCUGUAGGCACUGGGGAGCUAUCAAUGGUUUUUAAGCAGGAGAACUCCUUUAUCAAAGACAAUUUUUAGCUCAUCUGGAAUCAGUGUGGAGGAUGGAAUUAGAGAAGACAGAGACUAGUAGCCCUCCGGAAGGAAGAUAACAGAGCUGGUGUUUGCUGCCUCAAACACCUGCAAUCACACUGUGUGGUCUUAAGGAAGAAAAACCCAGAGAAAGGAAAAGACCAAUGUAAUUAACACAUGGUCAAGAGCCAAGGUUCCUCUUCCCUGACAAGGGAGCAGCCUCCAGAAUGCCAGCAUACCAGGCCCGGUUGUAGGCACUGAACUUCAAUGCAGCCGAGGAGUGUGAAGGGCAGUGUUGAAGGAGCAUCAGCUCGGGGCAGGGAGCAGCUUCCAGCCCAGCAGUAAUGAUCUACUCAGAGUUGUCAGGGUGCACAGGGAAGUUUCCACUGGUGGUCUUCAUGGGGCUGCUGCUACUUGACCUGACCAAAGACAUGACGAAGAGAUAGCCAAGAGGAUCACAAAGACCUGGCUUUGUUGGGAAAACAUGGAACGUGUUAAAAACAUGGAGGAAAACAGUGGUGGUCCCCUGAGGAAUAACAACAAUGAGAGCAUUAUUCUGAUGUUCUUUAAGUAACAUGUAAAAUCCAAGGCUGCAAAGAAGCCUGAGAUAAUUCGGGAGCUGCAGCGUGAGAGUGGAACCUGGACAAGCCACACUUC
Molecule: long non-coding RNA, 722 nt
Filed under: Equus caballus (horse)
Lineage: Eukaryota; Metazoa; Chordata; Mammalia; Perissodactyla; Equidae
Description: lncRNA (ENSECAG00000044047.1)
Source: RNAcentral